CAGUCGCCGCGGGAAUACGAAGGGGGCUAGCGUUGUUCGGAAUCACUGGGCGUAAAGGGUGCGUAGGCGGAUUCUUAAGUCAGGGGUGAAAUCCCGAGGCUCAACCUCGGAACUGCCUUUGAUACUGGGGAUCUUGAGUCCGGAAGAGGUGAGUGGAACUGCGAGUGUAGAGGUGAAAUUCGUAGGUAUUCGCAAGAACACCAGUGGCGAAGGCGGCUCACUGGUCCGGGACUGACGCUGAGGCACGACAGCGUGGGGAGCAAACAGGAUUAGAUACCCCCGUAGUCCCUGUCUCUUAUAC
Molecule: ribosomal RNA, 301 nt
Filed under: uncultured bacterium
Lineage: Bacteria
Description: partial 16S ribosomal RNA
Rfam family: Bacterial small subunit ribosomal RNA
Source: RNAcentral